AAACACCAGUCCCAAGGUUCCUGUAGGCAGGCACAGCUAAGCAAGACAGAUCACCGCACCUUAGGGAGAGAGGAAGCACCCAGGGCAGAGCUUAAAUACAGCUCCCAGCCCAAGGCUGUGGAUGGAGGUCUCAGGUGAGCCUGGCUGGGAUUAUUAAGGCUGACUGAUGCACUCACCAUCCUGACAUGUGCAGAAGGACAAGCCCUCGUACUUGCUUCUCCGACUGUAAGAAUCAGAAAGCCAGAGAGUUUUCAAAUCCUCAUGUUCCUGAAGUACCAUAAAUCUUGUUGAUAUUCUGAUUUUGACCCUGCUGAACAAAAGGAAGGAUAAACAUUUCCAGUUCUUUUCCAUUUAGUC
Long non-coding RNA from Vidua macroura (Pin-tailed whydah), 357 nucleotides. RefSeq lists it as uncharacterized. NCBI's taxonomy places the organism in Eukaryota, Metazoa, Chordata, Aves, Passeriformes, Viduidae. The transcript is spliced from 3 exons. The record is from RefSeq and is a predicted model, not a curated record.